RNAcentral lists this ribosomal RNA (253 nucleotides) under uncultured bacterium. Its description in RNAcentral is "partial 16S ribosomal RNA". It matches the Rfam family "Bacterial small subunit ribosomal RNA", at positions 524 to 776 of the family's 1533-position model. The record is from RNAcentral.
UACAGAGGGUGCAAGCGUUAAUCGGAAUUACUGGGCGUAAAGCGCGCGUAGGCGGCUGUGUAAGUUGGAUGUGAAAUCCCCGGGCUUAACCUGGGAAUGGCAUUCAAAACUGCACGGCUAGAGUGUGGGAGAGGAAGGUAGAAUUCCAGGUGUAGCGGUGAAAUGCGUAGAGAUCUGGAGGAAUACCGAUGGCGAAGGCAGCCUUCUGGCCUAACACUGACGCUGAGGUGCGAAAGCAUGGGGAGCAAACAGG